CGUGUAGGCGGCUAGGAAAGUCAGAUGUGAAAGCCCUGGGCUCAACCCAGGAAGUGCAUUUGAAACUCUCUAACUUGAGUACGGGAGGGGAGGGGGGAAUUCCCGGUGUAGAGGUGAAAUUCGUAGAUAUCGGGAGGAAUACCGGUGGCGAAGGCGCCCCUCUGGACCGAUACUGACGCUGAGACGCGAAAGCGUGGGGAGCAAACA
Molecule: ribosomal RNA, 207 nt
Filed under: uncultured bacterium
Lineage: Bacteria
Description: partial 16S ribosomal RNA
Rfam family: Bacterial small subunit ribosomal RNA
Source: RNAcentral